This 398-nucleotide ribosomal RNA is filed under the name uncultured bacterium. RNAcentral's name for it is "bacterial SSU rRNA". It matches the Rfam family "Bacterial small subunit ribosomal RNA", at positions 28 to 428 of the family's 1533-position model. The record is from RNAcentral.
AUUGAACGCUGGCGGCGUGCCUAACACAUGCAAGUCGAGCGGCAGCGCGGGAGCAAUCCUGGCGGCGAGCGGCGGACGGGUGAGUAACGCUUGGGAAUCUGCCGUGUUAGUGGGGGACAACCCGGGGAAACUCGGGCUAAUACCGCAUACGCACUACGGUGGAAAGGCCCGGGGACCGCAAGGCCUGGCGCUAACGAGAUGAGCCCAAGUCGGAUUAGCUAGUUGGUAGGGUAACGGCCACCAAGGCGACGAUCCGUAACUGGUCUGAGAGGACGACCAGUCACACCGGAACUGAGACACGGUCCGGACUCCUACGGGAGGCAGCAGUGGGGAAUAUUGCGCAAUGGGCGGAAGCCUGACGCAGCGACGCCGCGUGAGGGAUGACGGCCUGGUUGUAA